RNAcentral lists this ribosomal RNA (486 nucleotides) under uncultured bacterium. RNAcentral's name for it is "partial 16S ribosomal RNA". It matches the Rfam family "Bacterial small subunit ribosomal RNA", at positions 30 to 507 of the family's 1533-position model. The record is from RNAcentral.
AUUGAACGCUGGCGGCAUGCCUUACACAUGCAAGUCGAACGGCAGCACGGGUGCUUGCACCUGGUGGCGAGUGGCGAACGGGUGAGUAAUACAUCGGAACAUGUCCUGUAGUGGGGGAUAGCCCGGCGAAAGCCGGAUUAAUACCGCAUACGAUCUACGGAUGAAAGCGGGGGACCUUCGGGCCUCGCGCUAUAGGGUUGGCCGAUGGCUGAUUAGCUAGUUGGUGGGGUAAAGGCCUACCAAGGCGACGAUCAGUAGCUGGUCUGAGAGGAGGACCAGCGACACUGGAACUUGGACACGGCCCAGACUCCUACGGGAGGCAGCAGUGGGGAAUUUUGGACAAUGGGCGAAAGCCUGAUCCAGCAAUGCCGCGUGUGUGGAGAGGGCCUUCGGGUUGUAAAGCACUUUUGUCCGGAAAGAAAUCCUUGGCCCUAAUACGGUCGGGGGAUGACGGUACCGGAAGAAUAAGCACCGGCUAACUACGUG